RNAcentral lists this ribosomal RNA (253 nucleotides) under uncultured bacterium. RNAcentral describes it as "partial 16S ribosomal RNA". It matches the Rfam family "Bacterial small subunit ribosomal RNA", at positions 524 to 776 of the family's 1533-position model. The record is from RNAcentral.
UACGGGGGGGGCAAGCGUUGUUCGGAAUUACUGGGCGUAAAGGGCUCGUAGGCGGCCAACUAAGUCAGACGUGAAAUCCCCAGGCUUAACCUGGGAACUGCGUCUGAUACUGGAUGGCUUGAAUUCGGGAGAGGGAUGCAGAAUUCCAGGUGUAGCGGUGAAAUGCGUAGAUAUCUGGAGGAACACCGGUGGCGAAGGCGGCAUCCUGGACCGGCAUUGACGCUGAGGCGCGAAAGCCAGGGGAGCAAACGGG